CAAUAGCGUAUAUUAAAGUUGUUGCAGUUAAAAGGCUCGUAGUUGAAUUUCUGGGCGGCCCGCCGGUCUUCCAUGUGUUGUACUGGGCGGCGCCGGCCAUCCUUGUGGAGAGGGCUCGCAUUUGGUUGCGUGUCGGAUCUGCAUCAUUUACUGUGAAAAAAUUAGAGUGUUUAAAGCAGGCUGUCGCUUGAAUACAUUAGCAUGGAAUAAUAAGAUAGGACUUCGGUCUAUUUUGUUGGUUGCGAACCGAGGUAAUGAUUAAUAGGGAUAGUUGGGGGUAUUCAUAUUUAAUUGUCAGAGGUGAAAUUCUUGGAUUUAUGAAAGAUGAACAACUGCGAAAGCAUUUACCAAGGAUGUUUUCAUUAA
RNAcentral lists this ribosomal RNA (366 nucleotides) under uncultured eukaryote. RNAcentral describes it as "partial 18S ribosomal RNA". It matches the Rfam family "Eukaryotic small subunit ribosomal RNA", at positions 592 to 976 of the family's 1831-position model. The record is from RNAcentral.